Molecule: long non-coding RNA, 1237 nt
Organism: Salvia miltiorrhiza (redroot sage)
Lineage: Eukaryota; Viridiplantae; Streptophyta; Magnoliopsida; Lamiales; Lamiaceae
Exons: 2
Source: RefSeq, a predicted model, not a curated record
GAUGCAGAAACAAUGCUGCCUUCAAUAUUACUAUAAGCCUUAGUCUAGUUUAUCUACGUACUGAAUGAGAAGGCUAUUAGUUAACAAAGUACUGAUAAUCGUUUUCCCAUUCCAUUUUCAGAGUAGACUAAUAGAGUAAUUAAGUUACCGGUUUUCUCCAGGGUCAUACCCUGUGCAGAAUCUAUGGUUACCACGAGCCUAUAGACUAUAGUCACAGACAUGGAGGACAUAGCAGAGGGGUUAAUAUGAUUGAAUUAAAAUGAAUAGGUAGUCAACCUCAUUUAAUGUAGCAUUCCUGGGUUUUCUUAGGUUCUUAUCCACCUCCCUUGUACAUCGCUACCUAUAGUAGUCUGAGGAUAUAUUAACCCCUUUGCUAUGUCCACCAUGUCUGUGACUACCUAUUGAACUGAAGUGGCACUACAAGAUUCAACAAGACAUCUUAUCUUGUUCACUGAAUGCACAAAAUUGUAAGAUUAAGGCAUGAGUAACACAUGGGAAGUUAGGCAUAUGAGCAAACCCAACAUGUGAGAAUGAGAAUGAGAAUUCCCUUAUAAUAGGCAUUUCUUCAAAUCAACAUAUCAGGAAGGAUUAACUUACACCAGUUCGAUUUCCAGCCCAUCCUCUUUCUUGAGAGAAUUUUAGAAAAAACUGAUCUUAGGUGACCUAUGAAGCAUGGGUAUGUGUCCCGGGGACGAUACGCGGAAAAUACGUCCCCGGGGACGUAUUUUCUCGGCCCUUUUUUAAAUUAAUUUUUUUAAUAAAAAAUACGUUAAAAAUACGUUGAUGAUACGGUCAAAUAAGUAUUUGACAAGUAAAAAUACGUUUUAAAAGAAUUUGAACCUGAACCUUAAUAGCGCCUCCACAAUUUCGCCCCUCUUCUCCCCUCUUCUCCUCUGACCCACCCUGCUCACUGUCGCCCCUGCACAACCCCACUCGCCGCUCGCCGUCUCGCCGCCCUGCUCCUCACCGUCGCGCUGCCCUGCGCCACCCCGCCAUCGCCGUCGCGCCGCCUUGCACGCUUGGAGCGGCCGCGCCACCCCAAUAAGUGAAGCCAUGAAUACUACAAAUUCUAGUUCUACAUCUUCUUCUAUGAGGGAAGAGGAAGAGGAAGAGGAGGAGGAGAAAGGCGAUGAUGAGUGAAUUAGUAGUGUUUUACUUAUAUUCUUGGUGAAUUAUGAAUUUAUAAUAUAUAUAUAUAUAAUAUAUUUUAAAUAAAAAAACUAAAACGUAUUUUUGA